GACGAACUGUCCUAACGUUGUUCGGAUUUACUGGGCGUAAAGGGCGCGUAGGCGGCCACCGCAAGUCAAUUGUGAAAUCUCCGGGCUUAACUCGGAAAGGUCAACUGAUACUGCGGGGCUAGAGUGCGGAAGGGGCAACUGGAAUUCUCGGUGUAGCGGUGAAAUGCGUAGAUAUCGAGAGGAACACCUGCGGCGAAGGCGGGUUGCUGGGCCGACACUGACGCUGAUGCGCGAAAGCCAGGGGAGCGAACGGG
This 254-nucleotide ribosomal RNA is filed under the name uncultured bacterium. RNAcentral describes it as "partial 16S ribosomal RNA". It matches the Rfam family "Bacterial small subunit ribosomal RNA", at positions 524 to 776 of the family's 1533-position model. The record is from RNAcentral.